GAAAAGAAAUCAACCGAGAUUCCCCCAGUAGCGGCGAGCGAACGGGGAGCAGCCCAGAGCCUGAAUCAGUGUGUGUGUUAGUGGAAGCGUCUGGAAAGGCGCGCGAUACAGGGUGACAGCCCCGUACACAAAAAUGCACAUACUGUGAGCUCGAUGAGUAGGGCGGGACACGUGGUAUCCUGUCUGAAUAUGGGGGGACCAUCCUCCAAGGCUAAAUACUCCUGACUGACCGAUAGUGAACCAGUACCGUGAGGGAAAGGCGAAAAGAACCCCGGCGAGGGGAGUGAAAAAGAACCUGAAACCGUGUACGUACAAGCAGUGGGAGCACGCUUAGGCGUGUGACUGCGUACCUUUUGUAUAAUGGGUCAGCGACUUAUAUUCUGUAGCAAGGUUAACCGAAUAGGGGAGCCGAAGGGAAACCGAGUCUUAACUGGGCGUUAAGUUGCAGGGUAUAGACCCGAAACCCGGUGAUCUAGCCAUGGGCAGGUUGAAGGUUGGGUAACACUAACUGGAGGACCGAACCGACUAAUGUUGAAAAAUUAGCGGAUGACUUGUGGCUGGGGGUGAAAGGCCAAUCAAACCGGGAGAUAGCUGGUUCUCCCCGAAAGCUAUUUAGGUAGCGCCUCGUGAAUUCAUCUCCGGGGGUAGAGCACUGUUUCGGCAAGGGGGUCAUCCCGACUUACCAACCCGAUGCAAACUGCGAAUACCGGAGAAUGUUAUCACGGGAGACACACGGCGGGUGCUAACGUCCGUCGUGAAGAGGGAAACAACCCAGACCGCCAGCUAAGGUCCCAAAGUCAUGGUUAAGUGGGAAACGAUGUGGGAAGGCCCAGACAGCCAGGAUGUUGGCUUAGAAGCAGCCAUCAUUUAAAGAAAGCGUAAUAGCUCACUGGUCGAGUCGGCCUGCGCGGAAGAUGUAACGGGGCUAAACCAUGCACCGAAGCUGCGGCAGCGACGCUUAUGCGUUGUUGGGUAGGGGAGCGUUCUGUAAGCCUGCGAAGGUGUGCUGUGAGGCAUGCUGGAGGUAUCAGAAGUGCGAAUGCUGACAUAAGUAACGAUAAAGCGGGUGAAAAGCCCGCUCGCCGGAAGACCAAGGGUUCCUGUCCAACGUUAAUCGGGGCAGGGUGAGUCGACCCCUAAGGCGAGGCCGAAAGGCGUAGUCGAUGGGAAACAGGUUAAUAUUCCUGUACUUGGUGUUACUGCGAAGGGGGGACGGAGAAGGCUAUGUUGGCCGGGCGACGGUUGUCCCGGUUUAAGCGUGUAGGCUGGUUUUCCAGGCAAAUCCGGAAAAUCAAGGCUGAGGCGUGAUGACGAGGCACUACGGUGCUGAAGCAACAAAUGCCCUGCUUCCAGGAAAAGCCUCUAAGCAUCAGGUAACAUCAAAUCGUACCCCAAACCGACACAGGUGGUCAGGUAGAGAAUACCAAGGCGCUUGAGAGAACUCGGGUGAAGGAACUAGGCAAAAUGGUGCCGUAACUUCGGGAGAAGGCACGCUGAUAUGUAGGUGAAGUCCCUCGCGGAUGGAGCUGAAAUCAGUCGAAGAUACCAGCUGGCUGCAACUGUUUAUUAAAAACACAGCACUGUGCAAACACGAAAGUGGACGUAUACGGUGUGACGCCUGCCCGGUGC
RNAcentral lists this ribosomal RNA (1629 nucleotides) under Escherichia coli. RNAcentral's name for it is "partial 23S ribosomal RNA". It matches the Rfam family "Bacterial large subunit ribosomal RNA", at positions 216 to 1869 of the family's 2925-position model. Lineage: Bacteria; Pseudomonadati; Pseudomonadota; Gammaproteobacteria; Enterobacterales; Enterobacteriaceae. The record is from RNAcentral.